RNAcentral lists this ribosomal RNA (547 nucleotides) under uncultured Bacteroidota bacterium. RNAcentral's name for it is "bacterial SSU rRNA". It matches the Rfam family "Bacterial small subunit ribosomal RNA", at positions 8 to 526 of the family's 1533-position model. Lineage: Bacteria; Pseudomonadati; Bacteroidota. The record is from RNAcentral.
AGAGUUUGAUCAUGGCUCAGGAUGAACGCUAGCGACAGGCCUAACACAUGCAAGUCGAGGGGCAUCGGGACGUAGCAAUACGUUGCCGGCGACCGGCGGAUGGGUGAGUAACGCGUAUGCAACCUACCCGUAGCAGGGGGAUAGCCCGUUGAAAGACGGAUUAAUACCCCGUAACACAGGGGCUCCGCAUGGAGAUUAUUGUUAAAGGGUCAUUUCUUUUUCAGGGAUGGUCCGGCUGCGGAUGGGCAUGCGUUCCAUUAGGUAGUUGGUGUAGGUAAUGGCUCACCAAGCCGACGAUGGAUAGGGGAACUGAGAGGUUGGUCCCCCACACUGGUACUGAGACACGGACCAGACUCCUACGGGAGGCAGCAGUGAGGAAUUUUGGUCAAUGGACGCAAGUCUGAACCAGCCAUGUCGCGUGAAGGAGGACGGCCCUAAGGGUUGUAAACUUCUUUUGCAGUGGAAUAAAGUUUGCCACGUGUUGGCGAUUUGCAAGUACGCUGCGAAUAAGGAUCGGCUAACUCCGUGCCAGCAGCCGCGGUAAUAC